RNAcentral lists this ribosomal RNA (264 nucleotides) under Diversispora epigaea. The record is from RNAcentral. Lineage: Eukaryota; Fungi; Glomeromycota; Glomeromycetes; Diversisporales; Diversisporaceae.
CUAACAUAUGUGCGUUCAGCCGAAAGGUGUACUCGUACGGUUGCAGGCUAGAGUCUGUUCUUGGGGUCGGAUAAGGGUCUUGGGAAUGUGGCCGGUUCGCCGGUGUUAAGCCCUGGACUUGAUACGGCUCUGGGGACAGAGGACCGCAGCGCGCCUUCUUGGCAUUGGCUUCGGCCUUUUCCGCGCUAAGGAUUCUGGCUUAAUGGCUUUAAGCGACCCGUCUUGAAACACGGACCAAGGAGUCUAACAUAUGUGCGAGUGUUU